UAGGCUUUUAUGGAUUCAUUUUAUGUUGAUUUCUUUUUCUUAUAAAAAAUGGCUAAUUGUUUGUCUUUUAUCAAGUAUUGCUGUCAAUGCUUUGACAAAUUAUCAGAAUGAUAACACUUUGUAAAAUUCACUUGGCAUAAUUUGAAUAUGCUUGAAGAUUAGGGAUGCUGGAUUGUUGUCUCUGCCUUCAGGUUAUACUUAUCAUUGUUAUAUUGAGUAGGCAAAAUUGUUUAUGAAUCAUAUGAUUAUCCUAGUUGGAACAUUAAAUUGUUAGUUGUUGGUGAAGAGGGUUGGUGAAAUAGUGUGGUUUGGCUGUGAACAUGUGGAGUUUUAAACUGUGCUAUGCUUUCUCUGAUUAUCAUUUCUAAUAAAUUUUUGUGCUGGCAAUUCUGUAUUUCUAAUUUUAUGAACUAAUUCAUUGAUCAUUUGCCAUUUCAAAGUUGGUAUUAUGUUGCUGUAGUGUGAUGGAAGUUUUCUGGGCUAUGUCUGUGGUGUUUGUAUCAGGCAAUAAUUAGUACAGAAAAUUAAUAAAUGCACUAGAAUCUUUGUAAAGAUGUUUAAGAAUUCUAUAAAAUAUUGAAACCAAUGAAAGUGAUAUUAUUUUUUGUGGAGGCUUCACAAAUUACAAGUACUAUGUCUUAAAGAUUCGGCGGCUUUUCUUUUUUCUUUCCUCACUCAGGAACUCUAUAUGGUUAAUAGAUCUGCCAAAAUUGAAUUGGUGAGGGUGGAAUAUCUUCUAGCUCAAUGCAG
RNAcentral lists this unclassified non-coding RNA (750 nucleotides) under Hevea brasiliensis (rubber tree). The record is from RNAcentral. Lineage: Eukaryota; Viridiplantae; Streptophyta; Magnoliopsida; Malpighiales; Euphorbiaceae.